AAACUAUCAAUCUUGCUCCAAUUUACUCAGAAAUAUAUCAUUGGAUUAUACUUUCAGAUAAGACAAGCUUCAUAUGAAUUGAACUGUCCAACAGAGAGAGUUACAAAUAGUUUGGUAAACAAGGGUCGCAAAACAAAAUCUCUGUUUGGCAAAAUUCAUAAGGUCAGAUUCAACAGAUAACUGGGUAGGUGUUUGGACUCCAAAUCUUUCAAUCCAUAUAUCAAAAGAAAGAUCUACAAGUCUAGUUUCCAAUGAAAUUAGUUUUGAAUAAAUCGGAGUUUCCAACAAAGACUUACAAGCAGCUCGGUAUCAAAAGGUCAGAAUCUCGAAAGUUGCACAGAUUCGAAUCGUUAC
RNAcentral lists this long non-coding RNA (354 nucleotides) under Musa acuminata (dwarf banana). RNAcentral's name for it is "long non-coding RNA (MACU_LNC011675)". Lineage: Eukaryota; Viridiplantae; Streptophyta; Magnoliopsida; Zingiberales; Musaceae. The record is from RNAcentral.